RNAcentral lists this ribosomal RNA (468 nucleotides) under uncultured bacterium. RNAcentral's name for it is "partial 16S ribosomal RNA". It matches the Rfam family "Bacterial small subunit ribosomal RNA", at positions 28 to 507 of the family's 1533-position model. The record is from RNAcentral.
GACGAACGCUGGCGGCGUGCUUAACACAUGCCAGUCGAACGGAAAGGCCCUGCUUUUGUGGGGUGCUCGAUUGGCGAACGGGUGAGUAACACGUGAGUAACCUGCCCUUGACUUUGGGAUAACUUCAGGAAACAGGGGCUAAUACCGGAUAGGAGAUCCUGCUCCAUGGGGGGCGUUGGAAAGUUACGGCGGUUGGGGAUGGACUCGCAGGUUAUCAGCUUGUUGGUGGGGUAGGUGCUUACCAAGGCUUUGACGGGUAGCCGGCCUGAGAGGGUGAACGGCCACCUGGGGCCUGAGAUACGGCCCAGACGCCUACGGGAGGCAGCAGUGGGGAAUAUUGCACAAUGGGCGGAAGCCUGAGGCAGCAACGCCGCGUGCGGGAUGACGGCCUUCGGGUUGUAAACCGCUUUCGCCUGUAACGAAGCGUGAGUGACGGUAAUGGGUAAAGAAGCACCGGCUAACUACGUG